RNAcentral lists this ribosomal RNA (253 nucleotides) under uncultured bacterium. RNAcentral's name for it is "partial 16S ribosomal RNA". It matches the Rfam family "Bacterial small subunit ribosomal RNA", at positions 524 to 776 of the family's 1533-position model. The record is from RNAcentral.
UACGUAGGCAGCAAGCGUUGUUCGGAAUUACUGGGCGUAAAGAGUUCGUAGGCGGUUCGCUAAGUUUGGUGUGAAAUCUCCCGGCUUAACCGGGAGGGUGCGCCGAAAACUGGCGGACUAGAGUGUCGGAUAGGAAAGCGGAAUUCCUGGUGUAGCGGUGAAAUGCGUAGAUAUCAGGAGGAACACCUGUGGUGUAGACGGCUUUCUGGACGAUAACUGACGCUGAGGAACGAAAGCGUGGGUAGCAAACAGG